CACCGCGGUUAUACGAGAGGCCCAAGUUGACAAAUACCGGCGUAAAAUGUGGAUAGUAUACAGUAUUUCACUAAAGUCAAACAUCUUCAAAGCUGUCAUAUGCACUCGAAGACAGGAGGUUCUUCCACGAAAGUGACUUUAAAUAAUAUUACCCCACGAAAGCUAGGAAA
This 170-nucleotide ribosomal RNA is filed under the name Eugnathogobius variegatus. RNAcentral's name for it is "partial 12S rRNA". Lineage: Eukaryota; Metazoa; Chordata; Actinopteri; Gobiiformes; Gobiidae. The record is from RNAcentral.